GACGAACGCUGGCGGCGUGCCUAAUACAUGCAAGUAGAACGCUGAAGGAGGAGCUUGCUUCUCUGGAUGAGUUGCGAACGGGUGAGUAACGCGUAGGUAACCUGCCUGGUAGCGGGGGAUAACUAUUGGAAACGAUAGCUAAUACCGCAUAAGAGUAGAUGUUGCAUGACAUUUGCUUAAAAGGUGCAAUUGCAUCACUACCAGAUGGACCUGCGUUGUAUUAGCUAGUUGGUGAGGUAACGGCUCACCAAGGCAACGAUACAUAGCCGACCUGAGAGGGUGAUCGGCCACACUGGGACUGAGACACGGCCCAGACUCCUACGGGAGGCAGCAGUAGGGAAUCUUCGGCAAUGGACGGAAGUCUGACCGAGCAACGCCGCGUGAGUGAAGAAGGUUUUCGGAUCGUAAAGCUCUGUUGUAAGAGAAGAACGAGUGUGAGAGUGGAAAGUUCACACUGGA
This 459-nucleotide ribosomal RNA is filed under the name Streptococcus mitis. Its description in RNAcentral is "bacterial SSU rRNA". It matches the Rfam family "Bacterial small subunit ribosomal RNA", at positions 28 to 472 of the family's 1533-position model. Lineage: Bacteria; Bacillati; Bacillota; Bacilli; Lactobacillales; Streptococcaceae. The record is from RNAcentral.